GCAGAAAGCGUGUAUGUGUGGAGAGAGGGGGGAAAAAAGAGGGAAAGGCCUAGAGCUUCUCUUUCAGCAAGAAUGUUGCCAAUGAGACUAGCCAUGGGUUAUACGCUGUCAGCAUUUGCAAAGGAGCUGCCUGCCUGGAUUAUCUUCACUGGGAUCUUCCUGCCGGUGGUUUUGCUCCUAUUGUUGCUCAUUGCCUACUUCAGGAUCAAGCUGAUAGAGGUUAAUGAGGAAUUGGCCAUGGGCAAUGAUCCCACAGAUGCCAUCCUGAACUUCCACAUCCGGUACCAGAAACUGAGAUCUGAAAAAAAGAGAUUAACCAAAAGAACAUAAUGACGUUUAACGGACGUUCGCUUCAGAAAACAAGUUCGACAUUAGCAAGCAACUCAGGAGGUUUAAAAAUAACCUGCUGUAUUAUAAAAGUCAUGGGGGAAACAAAAUGGUGGGAAGUUAGUUUCAUUUGUACAGUCCUGCACUAUCUUAAAAGGCCUUGUAACAGUUUUGCUAUCUCUAUAUGAUACCUAGUAAGCAACACUUUCCUGAACUCGUCAGCACCUGUGACUUAAUGCAAUGUACUUUAUCGGCUGGUUUCUGAGACACAGCAUUUGGGAAAAAACCUCAUUGCUCACUAUUCCUUAGGUGCUUAUAUAAAGUCGAAAUAGCUCUAGGAGUCUUCAUGUGACAGCAGAAGCCUACGUAGGUCUAUGAAUCAGCAGCAGUCUUGUUGAGUCACAGGUGUACGAACAGCAGGUUAACAUGAAUUAAGAUUUUUUUUUUAAACAUACAUAUUGACAAAAGCAUGCUCUCUGAACUGAUGAGAAACUACAGAAAAACUUGAAAAGUGAAAGACAACAGUGAUGGAAGGAAAAAAAGGAUUUCUUCAUUUAUUUUUCCUGUUUCAUAUUUUAUUAAACUCACCUCCAUUAUAUUCUGUUUGUGAGGCAGAAGUUGGUACACCUGCCACCAAACCAAAUACCAAACCAUGGAAAGAAGCAACAAAUAUCUUUUUAAAGGGUCUGAGUUAUUUUAGUUUGGAAACACAAAGAACUCCUCUUAUAAUACUUAAAUAAGGAGAUGAUUUUUUAAACUAACAGGUGUAAUUAUGUUGUGAAAUUCUUUCUCCAUGUUUUUUCAUUAGUUGGAAACAAAUUAUAAAUAUGGCUUCAUUGCCAUGUGUCUGAAACAGAUCACCUUACAAGAAUGUACCAGUGGCCAUUAUUAGAAGAAAGCAACAAGAAGCCAAACAGCACUCAACUUUACCAUGCGCAAAGUCUUCUUGGUAUUAGAAUUUAAUCUCAUUCCUCUUGCUUCAAAUUCAUGACAAAUGGCAUUACUUUACAUUUGCACACAGUUUACUGUACAUUGUACUGUAUCAUACUGCAUAUGCAGACGGGGCUGAAUUAAGGCUGCAUGGGCAAUGUUCAUACUGGCAUUUCCUAACUUGGGCAUGUUCGACUUUGUAACCUUUUAAUUCUUAACUUUGUAUUUCCGAAUAUGGUUUAGUUUGAAAAUAACCAUAACUAAUAUUAAAGUUUUUUUUUGUUUGGGAAUUUAAAUUGGGACUGAAGCAAGAAUUAUAUGACUAUUCAGAUCAAGCCUCAAAAGUGGAAUAUUACAACGAGUGGCGACUACAUAUAUUGAUACAUUUUCUAAUGUCUUGAAAACCUGAUAAAAUGCAAGAGAUUUAUCCAGCUUUAUUUCAGAACAGGCUAUUUACUUUUAUAGUCUCAGUAGAAUGUGGACUAGAUCCAUUGAAUGUCAAACAAUAUUUGUGUAACUGUAGAGAAUCCAAACUUCACGUUACUUUUUUGUAAACUCUACCAAUUUAAUAUGCAAUUUCUUCAUUCAGUUAAUAAAAUAAUUUUACUGGUUAACACAGA
Chelonia mydas (Green sea turtle) is the source of this 1877-nucleotide RNA transcript. RefSeq lists it as uncharacterized. NCBI's taxonomy places the organism in Eukaryota, Metazoa, Chordata, Testudines, Cheloniidae. The transcript is spliced from 2 exons. The record is from RefSeq and is a predicted model, not a curated record.